AUUCCGGUUGAUCCUGCCGGAGGCCAUUGCUAUCGGGGUCCGAUUUAGCCAUGCUAGUCGUACGAGUUUACACUCGUGGCGAAUAGCUCCGUAACACGUGGCCAAACCACCCUCCAGAGAACCAUAACCUCGGGAAACUGAGGCUAAUAGUUCAUACCCGUCCCACGCUGGAAUGCCGGGACGCGCAAACGUUCCGACGCUGGAGGACGUGGCUGCGGCCGAUUAGGUUGACGGUGGGGUAACGGCCCACCGUGCCGAUAAUCGGUACGGGUUGUGAGAGCAAGAACCCGGAGACGGAAUCUGAGACAAGAUUCCGGGCCCUACGGGGCGCAGCAGGCGCGAAACCUUUACACUGCACGCGAGUGCGAUAAGGGGACCCCGAGUGCGAGGGCAUACAGUCCUCGCUUUUCAGCACCGUAGGGAGGUGCUGGAAUAAGAGCUGGGCAAGACCGGUGCCAGCCGCCGCGGUAAUACCGGCAGCUCGAGUGAUGGCCGAUUUUAUUGGGCCUAAAGCGUCCGUAGCU
RNAcentral lists this ribosomal RNA (524 nucleotides) under uncultured haloarchaeon. RNAcentral's name for it is "bacterial SSU rRNA". It matches the Rfam family "Archaeal small subunit ribosomal RNA", at positions 1 to 526 of the family's 1478-position model. The record is from RNAcentral. Lineage: Archaea; Methanobacteriati; Methanobacteriota; Halobacteria; Halobacteriales; Halobacteriaceae.